RNAcentral lists this ribosomal RNA (406 nucleotides) under uncultured bacterium. RNAcentral describes it as "partial 16S ribosomal RNA". It matches the Rfam family "Bacterial small subunit ribosomal RNA", at positions 30 to 526 of the family's 1533-position model. The record is from RNAcentral.
AUUGAACGCUGGCGGCAGGCCUAACACAUGCAAGUCGAACGAGUGGCGGACGGGUGAGUAGUGUCUGGGAAACUGCCUGAUGGAGGGGGAUCACUACUGGAAACGGUAGCUAAUACCACAUACCCUCAUAUGUCCCCAGAUGGGAUUAGCUUGUUGGUGGGGUAACGGCUCACAAGGGCGUCUAGCCCUAACUGGUCUGAGAGGAUGACCCGCCACACUGGAACUGUGACACGGUCCAGACUCCGACGGGAGGCAGCAGUGGUGAAGAUUGCACAAUGGGCGCAAGCCUUAUGCAGCCAUGCCGCGUGUAUGAAGAAGGCCUUCGGGUUGUAAAGUACUUUCAGCGGGGAGGCGUUACCCGCAGAAGAAGCACCGGCUAACUCCGUGCCAGCAGCCGCGGUAAUUC